AAAAAUAAUCUGUAUCGUUAAGUAAACCUGUCCUACCAUCCGUGUGAUUGCAAAUCUCAAGGUUCAUUUUCAAAAGGCCACAGGCGUACAGGGGCCCGUCCACACCCGCACACGGCCGUAGGGAAAACUGUGACGAGACCGCAACAUCCCCGCUGGGCCACGCGGGUCGCCGUCCACACCGCAAACGGGCCCAGGGGCCCCGGGCACGCGCAGCACCAGACGUUCGGCGUCCACGCGGCCCCGACAGGCAGCGUCAGAACAACACAGGACCAAGGGACGGGGCCGGCCUGCCCCCAGCACCGUGCAGCUGCCACACGGGGAGGCGGGCAGCAGGCGGCCCCUGCCGCUCCCAGGCCCGAGGCUUGGAGGCGCACGAGGCGCUGCCCUCGGAUGUGCUGAGCCACGAAAUGAUUCAGCAGCAAGGAAAAUCAGAGGUUGGCAUCGACACGGACGCUGCCCUGGGAUGACACACACGCACCCCGUUCUGUGGCGGGCGGGUGGGACGGCCAACACACCAGCCCCUGCUGUGUCCCCGAGACGCGCCGGGACACGGCGACAUGCUCCGCUGUGGGGCCCCUGUGCACCUGCGGGGAGGAACAGGGACAGUCCAUGCGGCCCGGCUGCCACCAGCCUGUGUGGGGCUCAGCCCUGGCCCCUACUCUGCUGUCCCUUCCCCUGAAUCCGAGUGACUUUCCAGGAGCUCUGGGCCCGGAGCAUCCCGGCAACGACCCGCCACCGCCACACGUCACGUGGCUUCUCCGACACACGCGCGGUGCCUGACGCAUGCACCCCUCUUCCUGAGGCAUGUGCCUACUGUGUACCCAGCGGUCAGGGCUGACCCUCGCCGUCUGGACCCAUUGACAAGGGCAAGUGGCAAAGGUCAGCAGUACAACGUGAGCCAAAGAAAGCAGGCCCCGAAAACGUAGGCAAGGUGUGUGGGGCGUGUUAAAUGCACGUGUGUGCGCGUCGUCACUCACACUCGGGAUGCAGGAGGCUUCCCUCUCACGGCUGGAGGAUGCAUACAAAUUCCCCAGGCAAAGAGGGAAAGAGUGUUCCAGACGAAGGUGUAUGAGGCCUGGCGCGAAGCCAAAGAGCAGGUGUAGUGGGGGGAAGAGGAUGUGGGCGACUGGGGGGGGGGGUCACCGCAGGGCCGGUGGGGGGCGGCCUGCCUGGAGGAGGGGGUGGGGGUCGGAAGCAGAGGCUCCACAGGACAGUGGCUGUGGCGGGGAGGGACAGGGAGGACAGGGGCCCCGGCAGGGCCUGGGGGGGCCACGUGGGCAGGACACUGAGUCCUGCUGACACCCAGGGCAGUGGAGGGAGCCCCGGCCUGCACAUGGGGCGCCACCAGCCAGCAUCUCGAGGCGGGGGCCCAGCUCCCCCAGCUCCCAUGGGCACGACACCAUCCUCACACCUCGGGCUGAUCCCAAUGGACUCCGCUUGGCGCCCCUUGCAGGGACCUCGAGGAAGACGGCCGUCCUUCGGCGCCUGGCCUCUGUCACUGAGCACGACACCCGGAGGCACGUGUGGGGCGGGACCGGCCCCUUGUGCGAUCCCCGUGCGUACAGCCCGCAGGCUGGUCCCCGGGCCUCCGUGACAACCCCCGGGCCAGGGCCCAUGCGGGCUGUCAGGGUGACGUGAGCUGGCCAACAAAUGUCCCCCCGAGACUCUGCUCCCGCUUCUUCUGGGCGCAGAUGCAGGAGGGGGACCACGGUGUUGCGUGGGGACUGGCUUUGGGUGUUUGAGGAGCUGCCAAACGGCCCUCCACAGGAGCCGUGAUUCAUUUUUGCUAACAUUUUCAAGAUCUUCUAAAUGAAAACCAGAGCAGACAGUAGGAAGUGAGUUGUUUGGCCUGAGAGGUGGGAAGAAAGCCCCUCCCCCAGG
RNAcentral lists this long non-coding RNA (1881 nucleotides) under Canis lupus familiaris (dog). RNAcentral describes it as "lncRNA (ENSCAFG00040013820.1)". The record is from RNAcentral. Lineage: Eukaryota; Metazoa; Chordata; Mammalia; Carnivora; Canidae.